UAAAUAGAAUCGCUCUGUUCUCGUGGCGUGGUUUUUUUUUUUAUUUUUUUUAUUUUUUUCGCAUAUUAAUUUUUUGUUUGAUCGCGUAAAUAGGGAGGACUUGAAUUGAAAAUCGAAAUCGAAAGACAUUGUUCGUCUUUAUCUCAGUUUGGUGGAACCACAAUCUCCUGGACUAUCACCAUGGGGGGACCGUUUUUCUCUACACCUUUUCAGCCUUAUGUAUACCAGGUACUCUCCUUACUUCCCACGAUGAAUUUAGUUUUCCCUUUUAUUCUCUCUACUUGCUGUUUGGUUGAUCAGAAAAUUGAGUGGAACUUAAACAACAAUUGCUUUUUUAAAAAGGUCGUUUUACGUGUUUUUGAUAAUGAAUUUACUCUGCAAGUAAUUUGAUUUAUUCUUUUAAUAAUUUCAUUUGUUGUGUUAAGUGUUAGCUGGCUGAAUUUGGGGUUUUGUUCUCAUUUUGGCGUUUGAUUGUCUGUGCAUUGCUGAAGAUCGACUUUUGUUGGUCUGCUGGCUAGGGUUUAACCUGGUGGAAGUCGAUGUUCUGUCGUAUCCGCAAAAUUUGAUAUCAGUGCGCAUACAUUUUAGUGCUUUCUGUUGAUUGCUAGUUGUGUUUCUAUAGAGCGCAUGGGAUGCUGUCCCUCAGGACUUUCAACUACUCUGAAUGACCAAACACGAAAUCAUAUAAUCAACUUGUAUGGGCAAUAUGCGUGGGGCCUACUUCCUCUUCUCAGGGUCUUGUAUGUCCCGAAAAGAAAGUAUAGCAUAGAGGAAUGAGUCUUCUUUUUUGUCAUGUAGUAAGUGAUAGAAGAGGUGAGGAUGAAGAGAAGAGAGAGGAAAUACAGUUUUACACAAUGUAGUAAGUGAUAAACAAAAAAUGAAGAUGAAGAGAAGAUAGAGGAAACAGUUAUAUUCCUCAACUUUUAUACUUCAAAUGGAUUACAGCCACGUGGAAGGGAAUGGUAGUUCAUUAGUAUGCAUUUUAUCAAAUUCCAUAAAUGAUAAUUUACUAGUAUGCCUACUGUGAAAUUUAACAAAGUUGAUAUGCCCACGUUUAUGGUAUAUGGCCGCAAAUCCUGCCACUAAAUUAAAAUUCUCUAGCAGAUCUCAUUUAUUUCAGGGUGUUUCCUCCAUAUGUGAACAUUGGAACUGCUACAGUUGCAUGCCAUGUGAGUAAGAGACACCAAGAUGCACUAAAUAUUUGUGUUUUCAAGAGCAUAUCCUUCUAGGUUGACCUUGUGCUGUUUUAAGACAUUGGCACGUGGUCUUUUACAUGUGUGAUCACUUGAUCAUUGUCAAUUGAGUUAUCCAAUCAUGUGGUAGAAGGUAAAGUUCUCAAAUGCUGGACGUGAAUUUGUGAUGUGCAUGUAUUCUUUUGGUUAAUUCCUUGAAAUCUGGUGUGCUUCUAAGGUAGUCAUAAUGACUAAUAAUAUCUUGCUCUUUUGAUCUCGAUUUGUGACUUAAUUUCCUUAAGCAUUUUAUUCCAAAUACAUUCAUGACUCUGUUGAUUUCGGAGCCCUUUGUCACCUCCUUGCUUUCCAAUUUUUUCAUAUUUCUUUGGAGGAUGACCGCUUAUUAUUCAGAACUAUCAAGCCAUCCUACUUAAAUUUUAUGGAUAAAUUCCACGUAUAUGUUUUGGUUCUAUUCUUUUGGGUCGUAACUUACUAUCUUUCGAUGACAUUGGAGCUGUUAUCGAUAUUCUCCUAGAUAUGUAAUACUUUGUAUAUGGGCGGUAUCCCUUUGGUGCCCUUUUUUGAUACAUCUACUAACUUGUAUCUCAAAAAAAAAAAAAAAAUUCCACGUAUAUCCCUGGAUUUGCCCAUAUUUCAGCCUAAUCGGCAAUUUUGUGGAAAAAAACACCACAGUUCUGCCGUUUAAGAGCUGUUGCUGGUAAAUACAUGUGCAUUUGCCUGAGUUGUUACUUUCAUCUCUAGUGACUUGUAAUUUUGUUUUGGUCUUUCCAUAAAAAGCAAAUUUUGGGUUUCUAGUGUGACGGAGGCUCCUUAUGUGAUCUA
Molecule: long non-coding RNA, 2015 nt
Filed under: Carica papaya (papaya)
Lineage: Eukaryota; Viridiplantae; Streptophyta; Magnoliopsida; Brassicales; Caricaceae
Description: long non-coding RNA (CPAP_LNC014492)
Source: RNAcentral